ACAAAAGAACACACAACACAGAAAAGCUACAAGGGAACUCUCACUUAGUUAACUCCGCCACCUCCAACGGAGCUCUCAAAGCUCAAACAUUAUAUAUCUUCCCCUGCUCCCACAUUUCAAUCUCCACAGAAACCCUAACAUUCACAAUGCAAUCUUCAAUUUCUCUAUCGCUCUCUUCUCCAUCCACGAUCUGCAGAUCGGACUCAUCCGCCGCCGUUUCCAAUGUCAAUGUUAAUCUGUUGAAUCCACGAUCACUUCGAUUCUGCGGUCUUAGAAGGGAGGCUUUUGGGUUGAAUUCAUCUCUCUCUACGCAUCGUAUCCAGUCAUUAUCUAAUGCUACGAGGCGUCCUUGUUCCAACAGAAUCGUGGCUUCUUCGGCUGGAAAUGGAGCUGCUUCUAAGGGCUUUGAUUAUGAUCUGGUUAUUAUUGGAGCUGGUGUUGGUGGUCAUGGUGCUGCUCUUCAUGCCGUCGAGAAGGGUUUGAAAACUGCUAUCAUUGAAGGGGACGUCGUUGGAGGUACAUGUGUAAAUAGGGGUUGUGUUCCUUCCAAAGCCCUUCUAGCUGUGAGUGGUCGCAUGCGGGAGCUUCAG
Molecule: unclassified non-coding RNA, 590 nt
Filed under: Hevea brasiliensis (rubber tree)
Lineage: Eukaryota; Viridiplantae; Streptophyta; Magnoliopsida; Malpighiales; Euphorbiaceae
Source: RNAcentral